UUCAGAUUUGAGAAAAUUUUUGAUCAAGAGGCAAAACAAGAUGUGAUUUUUGACAGCAUUGCCAAACCAGUAGCAGAAUGUUUGCAAAGCCAAAUUUAAGACUGAUGAGGACUUCUGCAUUCAUUGUGUGGAUUGAAUGCUACUCUGAAACGGUGGAUUUUCCAGUGGAACAUGGAUUUUAUGCCAUUCUCUUUGCUCAGUUUACUGUCUGCAUUGCUGAAGUUUGUACUGGUUUUAGUGUGGGAGAAAAUCCCAUGCUGGAGGAAGCAGAAUUUCUGCAUAGUGUUUGCUUAUUUAUCAAACUUACUGCUCAAAAUCCAGACUUGUAUUGAGUUGGGGAGUACUACUUCAAGUGACAACUUCUUUCUCAUUCAUCAUUGGUUUAUGCCGUGAUUCUUCAAGCUAUUCCUCAAUCUAUUGCACAGCCCAGUGUUUAGCACUGUAGGAAAACAAACGUCUUCAGCUGGAUACUAAUCCUUUCUCAAGUUGUUACAUGGAAGAAAAAUAUAUCUCUCUCUUUAUAAUUUCAUUUUGUUUCUCCACACCCCUCCUGUUUUCUUCCUUAAAGUCCCACAUAAAGCAGAAAGGUAAUUGACAGUGAAAUGAAGAGCCAGUGAAUUUUAUUCGAAUAAGCUAAAUAGACUUAAAGAUAGUUGUUGUAUUGUUAUUUUCUCAUCCAAAAGAUAUUUCUUUGCUUAUCCAACAGUAUCACAUUUAGCUUCAUGUUAAGUCAUACACUUAAUUUUAAAUAUUUCUGGGUUUAAUGUUGACAUUAGAAAAAAACCCUUUAUCUAAUUUGAGUGUGUUUUGAAAGAGAAGCAUUAAAAUUCUCAUUUUUACAUACUAUGGACUUAAUUAUCCUCAACAGAAGCUCAGAGUAUCAAAAUUAACUAGUAAUAAACUGGCUACUUUUUUUCCCCUUGGAGUGUUUUGCUAGAAUAUGGAAAUGUUUUCCAGUUGAACAAUUCAUCUAUACAAUGCUCUAAUAAACAGGAAAGGGUAUUAUUCUCCUUUAUUUCAGUGUUAGCUGAUAAAAAGGUUAUUUUAUAUAUUAAUUUUCUCCAUUAUGUAGGCUUUAGUUUCAGGGUUUAGAUAUUUUUAAGUACUUGAAAGUACUUAAAUGCUAUUAAAAUCAAUGGUUUUUAGGCAGACAAUUAUCCUCAAAUGGCUGUGUUUUUAAUGCUAAAAGUGACUUAUAAAACCAAUCUUAAUGAAAUCAAGAUUUUGUCUCUGAGCAUAAUAAUGUGGUAAAGCCUGUAUUCUAAAUUAUACUUGUGUUGUUACUGAUAAUUUUACUUGUGUUUUUAUAACAGAGUAGACAAUAACUGAAGUAUGUUCAUGUUUUUAUCUACUCCCUUAAUUUUUAACCUCUUUUUAGACAAAAAUGUAUAUUUCAAAAUAUCUUUGGAGUCAUGAGGUUCCUUGACUAAUGGAGUCCUGAACUGGGCCUGAAAUUUUCAGUCAGUGGUUAAUGGUAAAAUUUUUCUUUCCGUCAUGGAACAAUAAGAAUUGCCCUGUUUCUUUUAAAGACCACAGUUUUCACAGCAAAAUGUCCUUCAUUAUUUGUUUCUUUCACACUCAGUAUUCUUGCAUGAAAAAGCUGUUGCAGGUACACACAUUUCUGUUGUUGGAGUUACUUUACUAAGGGAACAGUUUUUGUGUGUGUAUUGCCAGGGAAAAGAAAGUAGCAGGAAAAUAUCAGUGAAAUAGUUCAGUAACAUUCUGAGGUUCUUUGUCAUGCCUUCUUGCAGUCCUGAGAAAAUUCAGUUAGACUUGAAUGCUGAGGGGAAAGAAAAUCAAUUUUUGGGCAUUGUUUAAACUAAAACCAGAAAGACAAUGCUCAGGAUUCUAAAAUUUUUCUAGUUUGUUCUUGGAUGGAUGGAAAUUGAAUGCAACUUUCUUUUCUCUCUUUGUUUUUUUUAAUUUUUCUUUUUAAGUGUGUUUUCUUUGUUGUUGGGCCUACUUCUCUUUCUGUAAGUCCAGUUACAUUGUCAUCUUGCCUGUGGUUUCAGAGGCACCAGUCGUUAGAUUGUUUAAUUUGCUUCUUCAGUCAAAAGUACCAGCCUCUGCAAACCAUUAUAAGCAUAUGAUUUGCUUGGACUUCAUUACUUUUCUUCUGUCCUUGAGUCAUCUUUUACAUUGUUUCUUUUCCUUCUAAUUUUAAAUAUAUAUUCUUGAUAAUGUUUUUGUGCAGGAUCAACUUGAUGUUUAAGAAGCAGCACUAAUUCUGUUACUCUAUCAAAACCAGAAAAUAAAUAGCAUCCUACUUUAAAAGUUUGCUAAUAAUUAAGCAUUGCUUUAGUCUCACAACUAAACAAGGCUACUCUCAAAAUGUUUCAAGUAUUAGUAUUAUUAUUAUGUAUGCAAUCAGAAAUUAAGUAGAAAAUGUUAACUGUUUUGAAUUAGCUGAGUUUUUAGUUCUAAUAUGGCCAAUGUUUCGGUAUUAGAUUUCUUGAUUUAUUAAAGAAUAACAUUUGAAAAUAUUUUCUCUUCAGUUGUCUCAAGCAAAUAAGAAAUAGCUGUUUAUAAACCUAAUGGCAAUGACCUGUGAUCUUUUGAAAAAUCUGAUGGCCUUGGGGAUAAUGCUCCCAUUGCUGCAGUUUCUGGUUUCUUACGUGCUAUACUUAUCCUAAGAAAUUGCAUCUAUAAUAUAUAAACUACUUCAGUUUACUCUCAACUGGUUUGGUGGGGUUUUUUUCUGCUGUGUAUUCUUACAGAAAAUUAGUAAAAAUAUUUUUAUUAACGAUUAUUAUUUUUGUACCUGGAUGUAUUUAUCACAGUGUGUAAAGUAAUGGUCUGGCUCAUCUGCAUCACAAAGACUUGUAGAAUCUAUAUAGAGCAAAAGGACACAUUCUUUGGAUGUCAUCUUGAAAGAAGUGUAGCCUGAACUUCCCCCUAAAUUGAGAAAUUAGUAAUGCUAGCUGUUCUUUCUUAAUGUGAGUACAAUUACAUGGCAAUAAAAAGUGAAAAGUGUCAAUGAUGUUUCUUCUCAAAUGACUAUUAGUUACUUGUGUUUGUUUUGACUUAAAGUGUACAAUUUAGAAUUGUUCAAGAAGGUUGCUUAAUUAAAGUUACAGGUUGACACCUUUGAUUCAGAA
Molecule: non-coding RNA, 3098 nt
Organism: Cyanistes caeruleus (blue tit)
Lineage: Eukaryota; Metazoa; Chordata; Aves; Passeriformes; Paridae
Source: RefSeq, a predicted model, not a curated record